RNA transcript from Capra hircus (goat), 4898 nucleotides. It is a transcript of the gene named ATP binding cassette subfamily C member 10, with no coding region annotated. The record is from RefSeq and is a predicted model, not a curated record. NCBI's taxonomy places the organism in Eukaryota, Metazoa, Chordata, Mammalia, Artiodactyla, Bovidae. The transcript is spliced from 22 exons.
UCCGGAUCUCUGGGGAUGGGGACACAAGGAGUGGGGAAAAGCGGAACCCGGCUAGGGGGCCAGUACAGAAAGCCGCCAGCUUCUGGGAGCCUAAGCAACUCGCUUUCUACCGCUGAGGUGAGGCCUCGAUGGAGAGGUUCCUGGCCCGGUUGUGCGGCACCAGCGAGUUGCAGCCGCUCCCAGUGUGGGAGGGGGACACCACCGGCCACUGCUUCACGCAGCUGGUGCUCAGCGCCCUUCCCCACACGCUCCUGGCCGUGCUCAGUGCUUGCCACUGGGGCCACCCGAGGAAUCCAGAUUACGCCCCACACUGCAGUCCCGGCUGGCGCCUCCGACUCGCAGCCUCUGUUCUGCUCGCCGUCUUUCCACUGCUCGACCUGCUUCCAGUCAUUUUGCCACCAGGGGCAGGCCCAGGGCCCACAGGGCUUGAGGUGCUGGCAGGGGGCGUGGCGGCCGUGGCCUGGGUCAGCCACAGCCUGGCCCUGUGGGUGUUGGCUCAUGCCCCAUAUGGCCGCUCCCGGGGGCCCCUGGCCUUGGCUCUGGCUGCCUUCCUGCCGGCCCCAGCCCUGGUGCUGACCCUGCUGUGGCACUGCCAGCGAGGCACACUCCUGCCACCGCUUCUCGCAGGGCCCCUCUCCCGCCUGUGUCUCCUCAUCCUGCAACUGGCUGCUCUCUUGGCCUAUGGACUGGGCUGGGCAGUCCCCGGGCGGCCACGGGAACCCUGGGCCCAUGAGCCCCUCCUCUCUGAGGGCCAGGAGCCCGAGGUGGCUGAAGAUGGGGAGAGCUGGCUGUCCCGCUUUUCCUAUGCCUGGCUGGCACCGUUGCUGGCCCGCGGGGCCCGGGGAGAGCUCCGGCAGCCCCAGGACACUUGCCACCUCCCCCGCAGGCUGCACCCGACCUACCUAGCCCGUGUCUUCCAGGUGCAGUGGCAGGAGGGGGCCCGGCUGUGGAGGACCCUGUAUGGGGCCUUUGGGCACUGCUACCUGGCUCUUGGACUGCUCAAGCUGGUGGGGACCAUGCUGGGAUUCUCAGGGCCCUUGUUGCUGUCCCUCCUGGUGGGCUUCCUGGAGGAAGGGCAAGAGCCACUAAACCACGGCCUGCUAUAUGCCCUGGGGCUUACCGGAGGAGCCAUUCUGGGAGCCGUGCUGCAGAAUCAGUAUGGGUAUGAAGUUCGGAAGGUGGCUCUUCAGGCACGGGGGUCUGUGCUGAACAUCCUGUACCGAAAGGCUUUACAGCUGGGGCCCAGACGCCCUCCUGCCGGGGAGGUCCUGAACUUACUAGGCACCGACUCUGAGCGGCUGCUCAACUUUGCUGGGAGCUUUCAUGAGGCCUGGGGCCUGCCCCUGCAACUGGCCAUCACCCUCUAUCUGCUGUACCAGCAGGUGGGUGUGGCCUUCGUGGGUGGUCUGAUCCUGGCGCUGCUGCUGGUACCCGUCAACAAAGUGAUUGCCACCCGCAUCAUGGCCAGCAACCAGGAGAUGCUACAGCACAAAGACGCACGGGUUAAGCUCGUGACAGAGCUGUUGAGUGGCAUGCGUGUCAUCAAGUUCUUCGGGUGGGAGCAGGCGCUGGGGGCCCGCGUGGAGGCCUGCCGAGCUCGAGAGCUGGGGCGACUCCGGGUCAUCAAGUACCUGGAUGCGGCCUGUGUGUACCUGUGGGCUGCCCUGCCGGUCGUCAUCUCCAUCGUCAUCUUUAUCACCUAUGUCCUCACGGGGCACCAGCUCACUGCCACCAAGGUGUUCACUGCCCUGGCACUGGUGCGCAUGCUCAUUCUUCCCCUCAACAACUUCCCUUGGGUGAUCAACGGCCUCCUUGAGGCCAAAGUGUCCCUGGACCGGAUCCAGCAUUUCCUCGACCUUCCCAACCAUGACCCCCAGGCCUACUACAGCCCAGAUCCCCCGACAGAGCCAUCUGCAGCCCUGGAGCUACACGAAGCUCUGUUCUCCUGGGACCCAGUUGGAACCAGCCAGGAAACCUUCAUCAGUCACCUCGAAGUGAAAAAGGGAAUGCUGGUGGGCAUCGUGGGGAAGGUGGGCUGCGGGAAGAGCUCGCUGCUGGCCGCCAUCACCGGGGAGCUGCACAGGCUCUGUGGGCAGGUGGCAGUGUGGGGACUGUCCAAAGGCUUCGGCCUGGCCACCCAGGAGCCCUGGAUCCAGUUUGCCACCAUCCGAGACAACAUUCUCUUUGGGAAGACAUUUGACGCCCAGCUGUACAAGGAAGUGCUGGAGGCCUGCGCCCUCAAUGAGGACCUCAGUAUCCUGCCUGCUGGGGACCAGACGGAGGUGGGGGAGAAAGGCGUGACCCUCAGCGGGGGACAGCGGGCCCGGAUUGCCCUGGCUCGUGCUGUCUACCAGGAAAAGGAGCUGUACCUCCUCGAUGACCCUCUGGCUGCCGUGGAUGCAGACGUGGCCACCCACCUGCUGCACAGGUGCAUCCUGGGAGUGCUGAGCCACACCACGCGGCUGCUGUGCACCCACCGCACUGAGUACCUGGAGCAGGCUGACAUGGUGCUGCUGCUGGAGGCCGGGCGCCUCGUCCGGGCCGGGCCUCCCUCUGAGAUCCUGCCAUUGGUACAAGCUGCCCCCAGAGCCUGGGCUGAGGAUGGACAAGAGUCUGACCCAGCCACAGCCUGGUCCAUGGAGAACCCAAAGAAGACAAAGGAGGGGCUGGAGGUGGAGGAGAGCGCAUCUGGCCAGCUGCGGCAGGAGGAAAGCAAGAAGGAGGGCGCCGUGGCCUUCCAUGUGUACCGUGCCUACUGGAGGGCCGUGGGCUGGGGCAUGGCUCUCGCCAUCCUCUUCUCUCUGCUUCUCAUGCAAGCCACCAGGAACACGGCCGACUGGUGGCUCUCCCACUGGAUCUCUGAGCUGAAGGCAGCCAAGAAUAGCUCCCAGGAGGCGCCAGCCCCCACCAGGCUGGGCUCUGCGGGGCCGCUGUCUGCCCAGCUGCUCCUCUUCUCCCCCGGGAGCCUCUACACCUCAGUGUUCCCACUGCCCAAAGCUGCCCCCAACGGCUCCUCAGACCUCCGUUUCUACCUCACCGUGUACGCGACCAUCGCUGGUGUCAACUCCCUCUGCACCCUUCUCCGGGCUAUACUCUUCGCGGCGGGCACCCUCCGAGCAGCCGCCACCCUGCAUCGCCGCCUCCUGGGUCGAGUCCUCAUGGCUCCGGUGACUUUCUUUGACUCCACACCCACGGGCCGGGUCCUCAACCGCUUCUCCUCUGACGUGGCCUGUGCGGAUGACAGCCUGCCCUUCAUCCUCAACAUCCUGCUGGCCAACGCAGCAGGCCUGCUGGGGCUCCUGGCUGUGCUGGGCUUCAGCCUGCCCUGGCUGCUGCUGCUGCUGCCGCCUCUGAGCGUCAUCUACUAUCGCGUGCAGAGCCACUACAGGGCCUCCUCGCGGGAGCUGCGGCGCCUCGGCAGCCUCAGCCUGUCUCCCCUCUAUACCCACCUGGCCGACACCUUGGCCGGCCUCCCUGUGCUCCGGGCCGCCGGGGCCACCUACAGGUUUGAGGAGGAGAACCAGAGGCUCCUGGAGCUCAACCAGAGGUGCCAGUUUGCUGCCAGUGCCACGAUGCAGUGGCUGGACAUCCGGCUACAGCUCAUGGGGGCCGCAGCGGUCAGCGCCAUCGCGGGCAUCGCUCUGGUGCAGCACCAGCAGGGCCUCGCCAACCCAGGACUGGUGGGCCUGUCGCUGUCCUAUGCCCUGUCCCUGACAGGCCUGCUCUCAGGGUUAGUGAGCAGCUUCACGCAGACAGAAGCCAUGCUGGUGAGCGUCGAGCGGCUGGAGGAGUACUCCUGUGACCUGCCCCAGGAGCCCCGGGGCCAGCAGCCACAGCUGGGCAUCGGCUGGUUGAGCCAGGGGAGCGUGGAGUUCCAGGAUGUGGUGCUGGUGUACCGGCCUGGGCUGCCCAACGCCCUGGAUGGGGUGACCUUCCGCGUGCAGCCUGGAGAGAAGCUGGGCAUCGUGGGCCGCACGGGCUCCGGCAAGUCUUCCCUGUUGUUGGUGCUCUUCCGGCUGCUGGAGCCCAGUUCCGGGCGAGUGCUGCUGGACGGCGUGGACACCAGCCAGCUGGAGCUGGCCGAGCUCAGAUCCCAGCUGGCGAUCAUCCCCCAGGAGCCCUUUUUGUUCAGCGGGACUGUUCGGGAAAACCUGGAUCCCCGGGGCCUGUAUGAGGAUGGGGCCCUAUGGCAGGCGCUGGAGCAGUGCCACCUGAGUGAGGUGAUCGAGUCUAUGGAUGCUGUGCUUUGCAGGUGGUCUGGAUGGUGAGCUGGGCGAGGGGGGCCGGCGCUUAUCUCUGGGGCAGAGGCAGCUGCUGUGUCUGGCCAGGGCUCUCCUCACAGAUGCCAAGAUCUUGUGCAUUGAUGAGGCCACAGCAAGCGUGGACCAGAAGACAGACCAGCUGCUCCAGCAAACCAUCAGCAAACGGUUUGCCAACAAGACAGUGCUGACCAUCGCCCACAGGCUCAACACGAUCCUGAACUCCGACCGGGUGCUGGUGCUGCAUGCAGGGAGAGUGGCAGAGCUGGGCUCCCCUGCCGCCCUGCGCACCCAGCCCCACUCGCUGUUCCAGCAGCUGCUGCAGAGCAGCCCGCGGGGAGCACGCUCCUCUCCGUGAGGGCCCAGCCCCCACUGCCAAUGGUUUACACUCCUCCGUGUCUCUACCUCUCCCCCUCCUCCACAGAGGGGAAAGGGCGCCCUGGGCUCCUCUUCACAAGCCACUCUGUGUGUGGGCAGAGUCCCGUGGCUUCCCCAGAGGCAGGCCUCUGCUCUGGCGCUCCGGCAUCUGGGACUCCAAGUGGACUUUUUCUGGCAAAGGAGCCCACGUGCACUUCCGUAGUUUUAUUUGAUAAAAUUCCCAUUUUUACAUUCUGUGUAUUAAAAAAAUAAUAUUUGUGG